Molecule: ribosomal RNA, 274 nt
Filed under: uncultured bacterium
Lineage: Bacteria
Description: partial 16S ribosomal RNA
Rfam family: Bacterial small subunit ribosomal RNA
Source: RNAcentral
AUACGGAGGGUGCAAGCGUUACUCGGAAUCACUGGGCGUAAAGCGCGCGCAGGCGGCCAUUUAAGUUGGAUGUGAAAGCCUACGGCUCAACCGUAGAACUGCAUCCAAAACUAUUUAGCUAGAGUGUGGGAGAGGAAGAUGGAAUUAGUUGUGUAGGGGUAAAAUCCGUAGAGAUAACUAGGAAUACCAAAAGCGAAGGCAAUCUUCUGGAACACUACUGACGCUGAGGCGCGAAAGCGUGGGGAGCAAACGGGAUUAGAAACCCGGGUAGUCC